RNAcentral lists this ribosomal RNA (468 nucleotides) under uncultured bacterium. RNAcentral describes it as "partial 16S ribosomal RNA". It matches the Rfam family "Bacterial small subunit ribosomal RNA", at positions 28 to 507 of the family's 1533-position model. The record is from RNAcentral.
GACGAACGCUGGCGGCGUGCUUAACACAUGCAAGUCGAACGGAAAGGCCCUGCUUUUGUGGGGUGCUCGAGUGGCGAACGGGUGAGUAACACGUGAGUAACCUGCCCUUGACUUUGGGAUAACUUCAGGAAACUGGGGCUAAUACCGGAUAGGAGCUCCUGCUGCAUGGUGGGGGUUGGAAAGUUUCGGCGGUUGGGGAUGGACUCGCGGCUUAUCAGCUUGUUGGUGGGGUAGUGGCUUACCAAGGCUUUGACGGGUAGCCGGCCUGAGAGGGUGACCGGCCACAUUGGGACUGGGAUACGGCCCAGACUCCUACGGGAGGCAGCAGGUGGGAAUAUUGCACAAUGGGCGGAAGCCUGAUGCAGCAAAGCCGCGUGCGGGAUGACGGCCUUCGGGUUGUAAACCGCUUUCGCCUGUGACGAAGCGUGAGUGACGGUAAUGGGUAAAGAAGCACCGGCUAACUACGUG